Molecule: ribosomal RNA, 478 nt
Filed under: uncultured bacterium
Lineage: Bacteria
Description: bacterial SSU rRNA
Rfam family: Bacterial small subunit ribosomal RNA
Source: RNAcentral
CGACGAUCAGUAGGGGUUCUGAGAGGAAGGUCCCCCACAUUGGAACUGAGCCACGAUCAAAAUUUAUACGGGAGGCAGCAGUGAGGAAUAUUGGUCAAUGGACGAGAGUCUGAACCAGCCAAGUAGCGUGCAGGAUGACGGCCUAUGGGUUGUAAACUGCUUUUAUAAGGGAAUAAGUGAGUCUCGUGAGACUUUUUGCAUGUACCUUAUGAAUAAGGACCGGCUAAUUCCGUGCCAGCAGCCGCGGUAAUACGGAAGGUCCGGGCGUUAUCCGGAUUUAUUGGGUUUAAAGGGAGCGUAGGCCGGAGAUUAAGCGUGUUGUGAAAUGUAGACGCUCAACGUCUGCACUGCAGCGCGAACUGGUUUCCUUGAGUACGCACAAAGUGGGCGGAAUUCGUGGUGUAGCGGUGAAAUGCUUAGAUAUCACGAAGAACUCCGAUUGCGAAGGCAGCUCACUGGAGCGCAACUGACGCUGAAG